CCUGAUGGAGGGGGAUAACUACUGGAAACGGUAGCUAAUACCGCAUAACGUCGCAAGACCAAAGAGGGGGACCUUCGGGCCUCUUGCCAUCAGAUGUGCCCAGAUGGGAUUAGCUAGUAGGUGGGGUAACGGCUCACCUAGGCGACGAUCCCUAGCUGGUCUGAGAGGAUGACCAGCCACACUGGAACUGAGACACGGUCCAGACUCCUACGGGAGGCAGCAGUGGGGAAUAUUGCACAAUGGGCGCAAGCCUGAUGCAGCCAUGCCGCGUGUAUGAAGAAGGCCUUCGGGUUGUAAAGUACUUUCAGCGGGGAGGAAGGUGUUGUGGUUAAUAACCACAGCAAUUGACGUUACCCGCAGAAGAAGCACCGGCUAACUCCGUGCCAGCAGCCGCGGUAAU
Molecule: ribosomal RNA, 400 nt
Filed under: uncultured bacterium
Lineage: Bacteria
Description: bacterial SSU rRNA
Rfam family: Bacterial small subunit ribosomal RNA
Source: RNAcentral